This 723-nucleotide small RNA is filed under the name Pan troglodytes (chimpanzee). RNAcentral's name for it is "retained intron". Lineage: Eukaryota; Metazoa; Chordata; Mammalia; Primates; Hominidae. The record is from RNAcentral.
CUCCCUUGGCCCCGGUCCUGCUGCUGGCGCUCGGGCUGCGCGGCCUCCAGGCGGGGGGUGAGUGUGGCGGCGCCCCCCAGCCCAUUCCCCGGCCCCGGCCCCGCCUCUGAGGUUCGCGUCCCCCCACAGCCCGCAGGGCCCCGGACCCCGGCUUCCAGGAGCGCUUCUUCCAGCAGCGUCUGGACCACUUCAACUUCGAGCGCUUCGGCAACAAGACCUUCCCCCAGCGCUUCCUGGUGUCGGGUGAGACCCCGGCCCCGGCCCGGCCCGGCCCGCCCCGCCGUCCCGCCGCCCCCCAGCACCCUCGCCUCAUCCGCCCUCCCCACAGACAGGUUCUGGGUCCGGGGCGAGGGGCCCAUCUUCUUCUACACUGGAAACGAGGGCGACGUGUGGGCCUUCGCCAACAACUCGGGCUUCGUCGCGGAGCUGGCGGCCGAGCAGGGGGCUCUACUGGUCUUCGCGGAGGUGCCGGGGGUGCGGGGGGGUCGCGGAGCACCGCUACUACGGGAAGUCGCUGCCGUUCGGUGCGCAGUCCACGCAGCGCGGGCACACGGAGCUGCUGACGGUGGAGCAGGCCCUGGCCGACUUCGCAGAGCUGCUCCGCGCCCUACGACGCGACCUCGGGGCCCAGGAUGCCCCCGCCAUCGCCUUCGGUGGAAGUUACGGGGGGAUGCUCAGCGCCUACCUGAGGAUGAAGUAUCCCCACCUGGUGGCGGGGGCGCU